GGGUCUUGGCCCGUCGCCCACGGUGCGGAGGGCUGGUGGGCUUUCCUUGGCCGUCGGGCCCGCCACGGCGCGGGUCUUGGCUGCGGGGCGGAGGUGGGGCGGGAGAGCCGAGGAUAAGAGUUUGAGGCUUUUCGAGGCGCGUGCCGCGGCGUCCGCCUCUGCGGGACUCUGCGCCGGGCGCCCUCGGCCGGCGCGCCCGGCUCCCGCUUUGUCGCCGAGGGAAGCACGCGCGACGCCCCUCCCGUCGCCGCCGUGGCUUCUUUCGGUGUUCGUGAUUUGCUGAGAGGCUGGAAAGCAGCACGGCGGAGAGGAGCCUUGCACUCGCCAGGCGGGAAGCCUGCGCGGACACGCGUGCGCACCCACGGGGCGGCGGGCGGGCGUGGGGGGUCCGGGCCACGCGGGCGACGCGCCUCUAGGGAAGCGAUCUUGUUGCACCUUCCCGUUAUUCUGAAAGCAAAUCGUAGCCAGACCCGAGCGCAGCGGCUUAGCAAAUAAUAAGGGGAGCGUCAGUCGUGCUCGAAAUGCUUCCUUCGCGAUGGCGUCAGUGUUCCGUGAGGGAAUGAAGCCGCAGUAGGAAAUAAAGAGGCUGUGCGCGUAGUCUGAAAAGCAGAAGUCAACAUUUUUACAGAUGAAGAAAGAAUACGGAGGCAAGAGGUCUUUCUCUGCAGUUUGGUGGAUUUCCAACAUUUAGACUUGUUUGGAAGAAUUUCCUCAGCUGCACCAAUGAAGUCCUUGAUCUAUAGAAGUCGGCAGUCCCUAAAUCUACGUCUGCAUUUUGUUGCAAAUCCUUUAUAACAUUCCAUUAAAAUAAUGCAGAGUUAUUUAAUAUCCAGUUGGCCAUCGUGAGAGUAAUUCGCGGCUGAGAUUUUGUUAAUCAUUCUGUCUUCUGACUUAACAGUGAACGUAGGUGAUUUUUUUUGUAAAAUGUUGCUUCACAUGAAUUGUGAGAAUCACCUCUAAGUUUGAAUUGUACUGAAGGCACUAUAAGAAUUUCAAAUGAACGCUGAGUAGCCAGUAGCCUUCUGGCCUUUUCGUUUAACAAGCACAGAGUUCGUUUUUAAAAUUAAGUUACUUUGACAGAGGAAAUGUAAUAGCCUUGGUAGACAACAUUAAAAAUGUAACUGUCAGAUGUUUUAAAGUCUCCAACAGCCGUAUCUGUUUUAGAGCCAUAGAAUAUUUACUUACUGAAUUGCCUGUUUAAAGAUGAACUUUCUAAAUGCAGGGAAUAGUAACUUGCAAAAAAGCUAUGGUCUCUAAGUAAUGAAGGCUGUUUCAGUACCUAGAAAAAUCAAAAUCAAGGUUUUGAUGCUGCUAGUGUAAAAGAUGCAAUCCCCUUCUUAAUGGCCUGCUUAUUUAUUAAGCUCCUAGGCACUAUGCUGAAUGCCCUACAUGCAUAUCUCGUUUAAUCAUCAGUACAACUUGGGCUUAGGUUAGACUGUUAUCCCCAUUUUACAAAUAAGGGGAAACCCAAGAAAGAUGAAGUUAAGUAACUUGCCCAAGAAUAUAGCUAGUGAGUCCUGUGUCUGGGAUUAUAAUCCAAUUAUAUUUUAUUCUAAAGCUUUUUUUUUUUUUUUUGCUUUUUUUCCUUGCCCUAUCCUUUAAAUCAGGUUGAAUUUUAUGACAAUAUUCCACCAUUUUUGACCCAUAGAAAUGGCAGUGUCAUAAGGCUCAACCACUUAAACCAGAUUAAAGAACAAUGAUAGGCAAUUUUCAUUUCCUAUGUAUUAAAUCACUUACGGUUACAGCAUUUGAUAAUAGCUACUGUGUGUUAAUUUUCUUUUUUUUGAAACAGAAUUUCGCUCUUGUCACCCAGGCUGGAGUGCAAUGGCGCGAUCUCGGCUCACUGCAACCUCUGCCUCCCCGGUUCAAGUGAUUCUCCUGCCCCAGCCUCCCGAGCAGCUGGGAUUACAGGCAUGCGCCACCACGCCUAGCUAAUUUUGUAUUUUUAGUAGAGACGGGGGUUUCUCCAUGUUGGUCAGGCUGGUCUCGAACUCCCGACCUCAGGUGAUCCGCCCCCCUCAACCUCCCAAAGUGCUGGGAUUACAGGCGUGAGCCACGUGCCUGGCAGGUUACCUUUUCAAAUCUAUGUAGAUCACCUCAUUUCCUGACAGUCCCUCAAUGGUUUCUUAUCUC
This 2133-nucleotide long non-coding RNA is filed under the name Homo sapiens (human). Its description in RNAcentral is "non-protein coding CAHM:7". The record is from RNAcentral. Lineage: Eukaryota; Metazoa; Chordata; Mammalia; Primates; Hominidae.